RNAcentral lists this ribosomal RNA (494 nucleotides) under uncultured bacterium. RNAcentral describes it as "partial 16S ribosomal RNA". It matches the Rfam family "Bacterial small subunit ribosomal RNA", at positions 28 to 507 of the family's 1533-position model. The record is from RNAcentral.
GACGAACGCUGGCGGCGUGCUUAACACAUGCAAGUCGAACGGAAAGGCCUGCUUUCCCUUGUGGAUUGCGGGUGCUCGAGUGGCGAACGGGUGAGUAACACGUGAGUGAUCUGCCCCCAACUUGGGUAUAAGCCUGGGAAACUGGGUCUAAUUCCCGAUAGGACUGCAGGGUGGUGCCUGUGGUGGAAAACGAUUUUCUAGUGGUUGGGGAUGAGCUCGCGGCCUAUCAGCUUGUUGGUGGGGUAAUGGCCUACCAAGGCGGCGACGGGUAGCCGGCCUGAGAGGGUGGACGGCCACAUUGGGACUGAGAUACGGCUCAGACUCCUACGGGAGGCAGCAGUGGGGAAUAUUGCACAAUGGGCGGAAGCCUGAUGCAGCGACGCCGCGUGGGGGAUGACGGCCUUCGGGUUGUAAACUCCUUUCGACCGCGAGGAAGCCGCCUGGUUGGAAGGGUGGUGACGGUAGUGGUAGAAGAAGCACCGGCUAACUACGUG